CCUACGGGUGGCAGCAGUGAGGAAUAUUGGUCAAUGGACGCGAGUCUGAACCAGCCAAGUAGCGUGAAGGAUGACUGCCCUACGGGUUGUCAACUUCUUUUAUACAGGAAUAAAGUGAGGCACGUGUGCCUUUUUGUAUGUCCUUUAUGAAUAAGGAUCGGCUAACUACGUGCCAGCAGCCGCGGUAUUACGGAGGCUCCGAGCGUUAUCCGGAUUUCUUGGGUUUAAAGGGAGCGUAGAUGGGUUGUUAAGUCAGUUGUGAAAGUUUGCGGCUCAACCGUAAAAUUGCAAUUGAUACUGGCAGUCUUGAGUACAGUUGAGGUAGGCGGAAUUCGUGGUGUAGCGGUGAAAUGCUUAGAUAUCACGAAGAACUCCGAUUGCGAAGGCAGCUUACUAAACUGUCACUGACAUUGAUGCUCGAAAGUGUGGGUAUCAAACAGGAUUAGAUACCCUUGUAGUC
RNAcentral lists this ribosomal RNA (460 nucleotides) under uncultured bacterium. RNAcentral describes it as "partial 16S ribosomal RNA". It matches the Rfam family "Bacterial small subunit ribosomal RNA", at positions 338 to 795 of the family's 1533-position model. The record is from RNAcentral.